UUGUGAGGUUAAGCGACUAAGCGUACACGGUGGAUGCCCUGGCAGUCAGAGGCGAUGAAGGACGUGCUAAUCUGCGAUAAGCGUCGGUGAGGUGAUAUGAACCGUUAUAACCGGCGAUUUCCGAAUGGGGAAACCCAGUGUGUUUCGACACACUAUCAUUAACUGAAUCCAUAGGUUAAUGAGGCGAACCGGGGGAACUGAAACAUCUAAGUACCCCGAGGAAAAGAAAUCAACCGAGAUUCCCCCAGUAGCGGCGAGCGAACGGGGAGGAGCCCAGAGCCUGAAUCAGUGUGUGUGUUAGUGGAAGCGUCUGGAAAGGCGCGCGAUACAGGGUGACAGCCCCGUACACAAAAAUGCACAUAUUGUGAGCUCGAUGAGUAGGGCGGGACACGUGGUAUCCUGUCUGAAUAUGGGGGGACCAUCCUCCAAGGCUAAAUACUCCUGACUGACCGAUAGUGAACCAGUACCGUGAGGGAAAGGCGAAAAGAACCCCGGCGAGGGGAGUGAAAAAGAACCUGAAACCGUGUACGUACAAGCAGUGGGAGCCUCUUAAUGGGGUGACUGCGUACCUUUUGUAUAAUGGGUCAGCGACUUAUAUUCUGUAGCAAGGUUAACCGAAUAGGGGAGCCGAAGGGAAACCGAGUCUUAACUGGGCGUUAAGUUGCAGGGUAUAGACCCGAAACCCGGUGAUCUAGCCAUGGGCAGGUUGAAGGUUGGGUAACACUAACUGGAGGACCGAACCGACUAAUGUUGAAAAAUUAGCGGAUGACUUGUGGCUGGGGGUGAAAGGCCAAUCAAACCGGGAGAUAGCUGGUUCUCCCCGAAAGCUAUUUAGGUAGCGCCUCGUGAAUUCAUCUCCGGGGGUAGAGCACUGUUUCGGCAAGGGGGUCAUCCCGACUUACCAACCCGAUGCAAACUGCGAAUACCGGAGAAUGUUAUCACGGGAGACACACGGCGGGUGCUAACGUCCGUCGUGAAGAGGGAAACAACCCAGACCGCCAGCUAAGGUCCCAAAGUCAUGGUUAAGUGGGAAACGAUGUGGGAAGGCCCAGACAGCCAGGAUGUUGGCUUAGAAGCAGCCAUCAUUUAAAGAAAGCGUAAUAGCUCACUGGUCGAGUCGGCCUGCGCGGAAGAUGUAACGGGGCUAAACCAUGCACCGAAGCUGCGGCAGCGACGCUUAUGCGUUGUUGGGUAGGGGAGCGUUCUGUAAGCCUGUGAAGGUGGCCUGUGAGGGUUGCUGGAGGUAUCAGAAGUGCGAAUGCUGACAUAAGUAACGAUAAAGCGGGUGAAAAGCCCGCUCGCCGGAAGACCAAGGGUUCCUGUCCAACGUUA
Molecule: ribosomal RNA, 1332 nt
Filed under: Escherichia coli
Lineage: Bacteria; Pseudomonadati; Pseudomonadota; Gammaproteobacteria; Enterobacterales; Enterobacteriaceae
Description: partial 23S ribosomal RNA
Rfam family: Bacterial large subunit ribosomal RNA
Source: RNAcentral